GAAGGUAUAGCUCAGUGGUAGAGCUCAUGCUUAGCAUUCAUGACGUCCUGGUUUCAAUCCCUAGCACCUCCA
This 72-nucleotide transfer RNA is filed under the name Camelus bactrianus (Bactrian camel). It matches the Rfam family "tRNA". Rfam says of the family: Transfer RNA (tRNA) molecules are approximately 80 nucleotides in length. Their secondary structure includes four short double-helical elements and three loops (D, anti-codon, and T loops). Further hydrogen bonds mediate the characteristic L-shaped molecular structure. tRNAs have two regions of fundamental functional importance: the anti-codon, which is responsible for specific mRNA codon recognition, and the 3' end, to which the tRNAs corresponding amino acid is attached (by aminoacyl-tRNA synthetases). tRNAs cope with the degeneracy of the genetic code in two manners: having more than one tRNA (with a specific anti-codon) for a particular amino acid; and 'wobble' base-pairing, i.e. permitting non-standard base-pairing at the 3rd anti-codon position. The record is from Rfam by way of RNAcentral. Lineage: Eukaryota; Metazoa; Chordata; Mammalia; Artiodactyla; Camelidae. RNAcentral also lists the same sequence under 2 other names.